UUACAGCUUUGGAAUAACUUGUCUGGUGGCAAGCAGGAGCAGAAGGGAUAAGGCCAAAACACUGAUACAGUUCCAAAGCUGCAGCUCAAGGAGAACAGCGAGAAGUGCAGAACUGGGGGAGAUACCAUUACCAGGUGCUUUGUACAAGGAAAACGAAUGACUGCUUACUUCUGACAGAAGAGUUGUCCGCAGUUUCUGCAAUGGUGACGUCUUUCCGUGAGAGAAAAUCGAACUGAACAGCCCGAACAGCUGUCUCCUCCCUCAUCUUUCACCCAGUGGUCAGCUGCAGACCGGCCAGGUUGGUCACUCACAGACCAGCUGAACACUCUUCCUCGACCAUCGCCUACUAGAAUCCUGCUAUGAUCCCUGCAAGAACAGGAAUGGACAUUCCAGCCACAACAUACCAGCUACAGUACAAAGAAGAAGAACAUAAGAACGGCC
Trachemys scripta elegans is the source of this 441-nucleotide long non-coding RNA. RefSeq lists it as uncharacterized. NCBI's taxonomy places the organism in Eukaryota, Metazoa, Chordata, Testudines, Emydidae. The record is from RefSeq and is a predicted model, not a curated record. The transcript is spliced from 3 exons.